This 420-nucleotide ribosomal RNA is filed under the name uncultured bacterium. RNAcentral's name for it is "bacterial SSU rRNA". It matches the Rfam family "Bacterial small subunit ribosomal RNA", at positions 356 to 790 of the family's 1533-position model. The record is from RNAcentral.
GGGGAAUUUUCCGCAAUGGGCGAAAGCCUGACGGAGCAAUACCGCGUGAGGGAUGACGGCCUAUGGGUUGUAAACCUCUUUUUUCAGGGAGGAAUCAAUGACGUGUACCUGAAGAAUAAGCAUCGGCUAACUCCGUGCCAGCAGCCGCGGUAAGACGGAGGAUGCAAGUGUUAUCCGGAAUCACUGAGCGUAAAGCGUCUGUAGGUGGUUUAAUAAGUCAACUGUUAAAUCUUGAGGCUCAACCUCAAAAUCGCAGUCGAAACUAUUAGACUAGAGUAUAGUAGGGGUAAAGGGAAUUUCCAGUGGAGCGGUGAAAUGCGUAGAUAUUGGAAGGAACACCGAUGGCGAAGGCACUUUACUGGGCUAUUACUAACACUCAGAGACGAAAGCUAGGGUAGCAAAAGGGAUUAGAUACCCCUG